RNAcentral lists this transfer RNA (93 nucleotides) under Thelephora terrestris. It matches the Rfam family "tRNA". From Rfam's summary of the family: Transfer RNA (tRNA) molecules are approximately 80 nucleotides in length. Their secondary structure includes four short double-helical elements and three loops (D, anti-codon, and T loops). Further hydrogen bonds mediate the characteristic L-shaped molecular structure. tRNAs have two regions of fundamental functional importance: the anti-codon, which is responsible for specific mRNA codon recognition, and the 3' end, to which the tRNAs corresponding amino acid is attached (by aminoacyl-tRNA synthetases). tRNAs cope with the degeneracy of the genetic code in two manners: having more than one tRNA (with a specific anti-codon) for a particular amino acid; and 'wobble' base-pairing, i.e. permitting non-standard base-pairing at the 3rd anti-codon position. Lineage: Eukaryota; Fungi; Basidiomycota; Agaricomycetes; Thelephorales; Thelephoraceae. The record is from Rfam by way of RNAcentral.
GACACUUUGGCUGAGUGGUUAAAGCGAUAGACUCGAAUCAACGUCGAAAUCUAUUCCUCUAUGAGGGCGCAGGUUCAAAUCCUGCAGGUGUCG